This 30-nucleotide non-coding RNA is filed under the name Rattus norvegicus (Norway rat). Lineage: Eukaryota; Metazoa; Chordata; Mammalia; Rodentia; Muridae. The record is from RNAcentral.
UUAUGGACUAAAAAGCUCUGGGUGUCAUUU